UGGGGAAUAUUGCACAAUGGGCGAAAGCCUGAUGCAGCAACGCCGCGUGAGGGACGACGGCCUUCGGGUUGUAAACCUCUUUUAGCAAGGAAGAAGCGAAAGUGACGGUACUUGCAGAAAAAGCGCCGGCUAACUACGUGCCAGCAGCCGCGGUAAUACGUAGGGCGCAAGCGUUAUCCGGAAUUAUUGGGCGUAAAGAGCUCGUAGGCGGUUUGUCGCGUCUGCUGUGAAAACCCGAGGCUCAACCUCGGGCCUGCAGUGGGUACGGGCAGACUAGAGUGCGGUAGGGGAGAUUGGAACUCCUGGUGUAGCGGUGGAAUGCGCAGAUAUCAGGAAGAACACCGAUGGCGAAGGCAGAUCUCUGGGCCCGUAACUGACGCUGAGGAGCGAAAGGGUGGGGAGCAAACAGGCUUAGAUACCCUGGUAGUCCACCCCGUAAACGUUGGGAACUAGUUGUGGGUCCAUUCCACGGAUUCCGUGACGCAGCUAACGCAUUAAGUUCCCCGCCUGGGGAGUACGGCCGCAAGGCU
Molecule: ribosomal RNA, 530 nt
Filed under: uncultured bacterium
Lineage: Bacteria
Description: partial 16S ribosomal RNA
Rfam family: Bacterial small subunit ribosomal RNA
Source: RNAcentral